UUCCAGUAAUGACUGAGGAGGGACUCUGUACGACAUUUAAUUCAGAAUACGCGAAGUAUCAGACAGUAGAUGAUGACAAUUGGAAGGACCAGGAUCUAAUGAAGUGUCACUACCACAGCGAGUCGUGUUACGUCCAGAUUGAUUCCAGUGAUAAUGGCGUUAGAUAUUUCAUUCAUUCACCAUUCGACAUUGCAACAGCCAUCUCUAAUCCUACAGGAGAAGUUUAUCCCGGUGAUGAAUUAAUCACGGACUUUAAGGUAGUGGAAAUCGAAGCUGCGAAUAGAAUCAAAGGAUUAAGACCUGA
This is a long non-coding RNA of Vanessa tameamea, 304 nucleotides long. RefSeq lists it as uncharacterized. Lineage: Eukaryota; Metazoa; Arthropoda; Insecta; Lepidoptera; Nymphalidae. The record is from RefSeq and is a predicted model, not a curated record. The transcript is spliced from 3 exons.